This 96-nucleotide ribosomal RNA is filed under the name Aspergillus brasiliensis. Lineage: Eukaryota; Fungi; Ascomycota; Eurotiomycetes; Eurotiales; Aspergillaceae. The record is from RNAcentral.
ACAUACGACCACAGGGUGUGGAAAACAGGGCUUCCCGUCCGCUCAGCCGUACUUAAGCCACACGCCGGGAGGUUAGUAGUUGGGUGGGUGACCACC